This 490-nucleotide ribosomal RNA is filed under the name Euastacus bidawalus. Its description in RNAcentral is "partial 16S ribosomal RNA". It matches the Rfam family "Archaeal large subunit ribosomal RNA", at positions 2020 to 2713 of the family's 2987-position model. The record is from RNAcentral. Lineage: Eukaryota; Metazoa; Arthropoda; Malacostraca; Decapoda; Parastacidae.
UGACCGUGCGAAGGUAGCAUAAUCAUUAGUCUUUUAAUUGAAGGCUUGUAUGAAUGGUUGGACGAGAAGCAAUCUGUCUCUGUUGAAAAAAUUGAAUUUAACUUUUAAGUGAGAAGGCUUAAAUAAUCUAGGGGGACGAUAAGACCCUAUAAAGUUUAAUAUUACGGCGAUAGAAAAUUAAUUAGGCUAUUAAAAUUUAUUAUUGUAAGUAAUAUUUUGUUGGGGCGACAAGAAUAUAAAUAAUUUAACUGUUCUUUUUUGUAUCAAGGAUAUUUGAGUUGAUGAUCUUUUUAAGAGUAUUAGAGUAAAUUACUUUAGGGAUAACAGCGUAAUUUUUUUUGAGAGUUCUUAUCGACAAAAGAGUUUGCGACCUCGAUGUUGAAUUAAAGAUUCUUUAUAAUGUAGAAGUUAUAUAAGAAGGUCUGUUCGACCUUUAAAUCUUUACAUGAUUUGAGUUCAGACCGGUGUGAGCCAGGUUGGUUUCUAUCUA